Molecule: ribosomal RNA, 243 nt
Filed under: uncultured bacterium
Lineage: Bacteria
Description: partial 16S ribosomal RNA
Rfam family: Bacterial small subunit ribosomal RNA
Source: RNAcentral
GGUGACGUGGAGCAAAUCGCCAAACCCGGCCCCACGUUCAGAUUGCAGGCUGCAACUCGCCUGCAUGAAGUCGGAAUUGCUAGUAAUCGCGGAUCAGCAUGCCGCGGUGAAUACGUUCCCGGGCCUUGUACACACCGCCCGUCACACCAUGAGAGUCAGCAACACCCGAAGCCUGUGAGCUAACGCAAGAGGCAGCAGUCGAAGGUGGGGUUGGUGAUUGGGGUGAAGUCGUAACAAGGUAAC